RNAcentral lists this ribosomal RNA (495 nucleotides) under uncultured bacterium. RNAcentral describes it as "partial 16S ribosomal RNA". It matches the Rfam family "Bacterial small subunit ribosomal RNA", at positions 28 to 507 of the family's 1533-position model. The record is from RNAcentral.
GAUGAACGCUGGCGGCGUGCCUAAUACAUGCAAGUAGAACGCUGAAGGAGGAUCUUGCUCUUCUGGAUGAGUUGCGAACGGGUGAGUAACGCGUAAGCAACCUGCCUGGUAGCGGGGGCUAACUGUUAGAAACGAUAGCUAAUGCCGGAUGACAACAGUGAUUGGAUGAUAAUGGUAUAAAAGGGGCAACUGGUCCACUACCAGAUGGAACUGCGUUGUAUUGGGUAGUUGGUGGGGUAACGGCUUACCCAGGCGACGAUACAUAGCCGACCUGAGAGGGUGAUAGGCCACACUGGGAGUGAGACAGGGCCAAGACUCCUACGGGAGGCAGCAGUAGCGAAUCUGCGGCAAUGGACGGGAGUAUGGCCGAGCAGGGCGGAGUGAGUGAAGAAGGUUUCCGGUUCGUAAUGCUCUGUUGUGAGUGAAGAACGGGUGUGAGAGUGGAAGGUUCAUGCUGUGACGGUAUCUGAAGAAGAAGAAACGGCUAACUACGUG